GUAGGUGGCAAGCGUUGUCCGGAAUUAUUGGGCGUAAAGCGCGCGCAGGCGGUUCUUUAAGUCUGAUGUGAAAGCCCACGGCUCAACCGUGGAGGGUCAUUGGAAACUGGAGAACUUGAGUACAGAAGAGGAAAGCGGAAUUCCACGUGUAGCGGUGAAAUGCGUAGAGAUGUGGAGGAACACCAGUGGCGAAGGCGGCUUUCUGGUCUGUAACUGACGCUGAGGCGCGAAAGCGUGGGGAGCAAACAGGGAUUAGAUACCCUGGUAGUCCACGCCGUAAACGAUGAGUGCUAAGUGUUAGGGGGUUUCCGCCCCCUUAGUGCUGCAGCUAACGCAUUAAGCACUCCGCCGGGGGAGUACGGCCGCAAGGCUG
RNAcentral lists this ribosomal RNA (373 nucleotides) under uncultured organism. RNAcentral describes it as "partial 16S ribosomal RNA". It matches the Rfam family "Bacterial small subunit ribosomal RNA", at positions 527 to 896 of the family's 1533-position model. The record is from RNAcentral.